Molecule: ribosomal RNA, 478 nt
Filed under: uncultured bacterium
Lineage: Bacteria
Description: partial 16S ribosomal RNA
Rfam family: Bacterial small subunit ribosomal RNA
Source: RNAcentral
GAUGAACGCUGGCGGCGUGCUUAACACAUGCAAGUCGAACGGGAAACCUUUUAUUGAAGCUUCGGCAGAUUUAGCUGGUUUCUAGUGGCGGACGGGUGAGUAACGCGUGGGUAACCUGCCUUAUACAGGGGGAUAACAACCAGAAAUGGUUGCUAAUACCGCAUAAGCGCACAGGACCGCAUGGUCCGGUGUGAAAAACUCCGGUGGUAUAAGAUGGACCCGCGUUGGAUUAGCUAGUUGGCAGGGUAACGGCCUACCAAGGCGACGAUCCAUAGCCGGCCGGAGAGGGUGAACGGCCACAUUGGGACUGAGACACAGCCCAGACUCCUACGGGAGGCAGCAGUGGGGAAUAUUGCACAAUGGGGGAAACCCUGAUGCAGCGACGCCGCGUGAAGGAAGAAGUAUCUCGGUAUGUAAACUUCUAUCAGCAGGGAAGAUAGUGACGGUACCUGACUAAGAAGCCCCGGCUAACUACGUG